AAUGAACGCUGGCGGCAUGCCUAACACAUGCAAGUCGAACGAAGGCUUCGGCCUUAGUGGCGCACGGGUGCGUAACGCGUGGGAAUCUGCCCCUCGGUUCGGAAUAACAGCGAGAAAUUGCUGCUAAUACCGGAUAAUGACGUAAGUCCAAAGAUUUAUCGCCGAGGGAUGAGCCCGCGUAGGAUUAGCUAGUUGGUGUGGUAAAGGCGCACCAAGGCGACGAUCCUUAGCUGGUCUGAGAGGAUGAUCAGCCACACUGGGACUGAGACACGGCCCAGACUCCUACGGGAGGCAGCAGUGGGGAAUAUUGGACAAUGGGCGAAAGCCUGAUCCAGCAAUGCCGCGUGAGUGAUGAAGGCCUUAGGGUUGUAAAGCUCUUUUACCCGGGAUGAUAAUGACAGUACCGGGAGAAUAAGCUCCGGCUAACUCCGUGC
RNAcentral lists this ribosomal RNA (434 nucleotides) under alpha proteobacterium S23323. RNAcentral describes it as "bacterial SSU rRNA". It matches the Rfam family "Bacterial small subunit ribosomal RNA", at positions 29 to 508 of the family's 1533-position model. RNAcentral also lists the same sequence under 1 other name. Lineage: Bacteria; Pseudomonadati; Pseudomonadota; Alphaproteobacteria. The record is from RNAcentral.